GACGAACGCUGGCGGCGCUUCUAACACAUGCAAGUCGAACGAGCGAGAGAGAGCUUGCUUUCUCAAGCGAGUGGCGAACGGGUGAGUAACGCGUGAGGAACCUGCCUCAAAGAGGGGGACAACAGUUGGAAACGACUGCUAAUACCGCAUAAGCCCACAGGUCGGCAUCGACCAGAGGGAAAAGGAGCAAUCCGCUUUGAGAUGGCCUCGCGUCCGAUUAGCUAGUUGGUGAGGUAACGGCCCACCAAGGCGACGAUCGGUAGCCGGACUGAGAGGUUGAACGGCCACAUUGGGACUGAGACACGGCCCAGACUCCUACGGGAGGCAGCAGUGGGGAAUAUUGCACAAUGGGGGAAACCCUGAUGCAGCGACGCCGCGUGGAGGAAGAAGGUCUUCGGAUUGUAAACUCCUGUUGUUGAGGAAGAUAAUGACGGUACUCAACAAGGAAGUGACGGCUAACUACGUGCCAGCAGCCGCGGUAAAACGUAGGUCACAAGCGUUGUCCGGAAUUACUGGGUGUAAAGGGAGCGCAGGCGGGAAGACAAGUUGGAAGUGAAAUCUAUGGGCUCAACCCAUAAACUGCUUUCAAAACUGUUUUUCUUGAGUAGUGCAGAGGUAGGCGGAAUUCCCGGUGUAGCGGUGGAAUGCGUAGAUAUCGGGAGGAACACCAGUGGCGAAGGCGGCCUACUGGGCACCAACUGACGCUGAGGCUCGAAAGUGUGGGUAGCAUACAGG
This 735-nucleotide ribosomal RNA is filed under the name uncultured bacterium. RNAcentral's name for it is "bacterial SSU rRNA". It matches the Rfam family "Bacterial small subunit ribosomal RNA", at positions 28 to 776 of the family's 1533-position model. The record is from RNAcentral.